This 16-nucleotide transfer RNA is filed under the name Trachylepis damarana (Damara skink). RNAcentral describes it as "partial tRNA-Tyr". Lineage: Eukaryota; Metazoa; Chordata; Lepidosauria; Squamata; Scincidae. The record is from RNAcentral.
GGCUUGGUAAGAACGG